Molecule: ribosomal RNA, 308 nt
Filed under: Babesia divergens
Lineage: Eukaryota; Apicomplexa; Aconoidasida; Piroplasmida; Babesiidae
Description: SSU rRNA
Rfam family: Eukaryotic small subunit ribosomal RNA
Source: RNAcentral
GGGCAUUGUCUUGUAAUUGGAAUGAUGGUGACCUAAACCCUCACCAGAGUAACAAUUGGAGGGCAAGUCUGGUGCCAGCAGCCGCGGUAAUUCCAGCUCCAAUAGCGUAUAUUAAACUUGUUGCAGUUAAAAAGCUCGUAGUUGAAUUUUUGCGUGGUGUUAAUAUUGACUAAUGUCGAGAUUGCACUUCGCUUUUGGGAUUUAUCCCUUUUUACUUUGAGAAAAUUAGAGUGUUUCAAGCAGACUUUUGUCUUGAAUACUUCAGCAUGGAAUAAUAGAGUAGGACUUUGGUUUAUUUUUUUGUUGGA